This 440-nucleotide ribosomal RNA is filed under the name uncultured bacterium. RNAcentral describes it as "partial 16S ribosomal RNA". It matches the Rfam family "Bacterial small subunit ribosomal RNA", at positions 338 to 795 of the family's 1533-position model. The record is from RNAcentral.
CCUACGGGAGGCAGCAGUAGGGAAUAUUGCUCAAUGGGGGAAACCCUGAAGCAGCAACGCCGCGUGGAGGAUGAAGGUUUUCGGAUUGUAAACUCCUUUUGUUAGAGAAGAUAAUGACGGUAUCUAACGAAUAAGCACCGGCUAACCCCGUGCCAGCAGCCGCGGUAAUACGGAGGGUGCAAGCGUUACUCGGAAGCACUGGGCGUAAAGAGACCGUAGGCGGGAUAGCAAGUCAGAUGUGAAAUCCUAUGGCUUAACCAUAGAACUGCAUUUGAAACUGUUAUUCUAGAGUAUGGGAGAGGUAGGUGGAAUUCUUGGUGUAGGGGUAAAAUCCGUAGAGAUCAAGAGGAAUACUCAUUGCGAAGGCGACCUGCUAGAACAUAACUGACGCUGAUGCGCGAAAGCGUGGGGAGCAAACAGGAUUAGAUACCCUAGUAGUC